GAUGACGCUAGCGGCAGGCCUAACACAUGCAAGUCGAGGGGUAACAGAAGUAGCUUGCUACUUGCUGACGACCGGCGCACGGGUGCGUAACGCGUAUAGAACCUACCUUUUACUGAGGGAUAGCCCAGAGAAAUUUGGAUUAACACCUCAUGGUAUCAUUAAUUGGCAUCGAUUGAUGAUUAAAGGUUACGGUAAGAGAUGGCUAUGCGUCCUAUUAGCUAGUAGGUGUGGUAACGGCACACCUAGGCGACGAUAGGUAGGGGCCCUGAGAGGGGGAUCCCCCACACUGGUACUGAGACACGGACCAGACUCCUACGGGAGGCAGCAGUGAGGAAUAUUGGUCAAUGGGCGGAAGCCUGAACCAGCCAUGCCGCGUGCAGGAAGACUGCCCUAUGGGUUGUAAACUGCUUUUAUAUAGGAAGAAACCCAGAUACGUGUAUCUGGCUGACGGUACUAUAAGAAUAAGCAUCGGCUAACUCCGUGCCAGCAGCCGCGGUAAU
Molecule: ribosomal RNA, 500 nt
Filed under: uncultured bacterium
Lineage: Bacteria
Description: bacterial SSU rRNA
Rfam family: Bacterial small subunit ribosomal RNA
Source: RNAcentral